AUUGAACGCUGGCGGCAGGCCUAACACAUGCAAGUCGAACGAGUGGCGGACGGGUGAGUAAUGUAUGGGAAACUGCCUGAUGGAGGGGGAUAACUACUGGAAACGGUAGCUAAUACCGCAUACCAUCGGAUGUGCCCAGAUGGGAUUAGCUAGUAGGUGGGGUAAAGGCUAACCUAGGCGACGAUCCCUAGCUGGUCUGCGAGGAUGAUCAGCCACACUGGAACUGAGACACGGUCAAGACUCCUACGGGAGGCAGCAGUGGGGAAUAUUGCACAAUGGGAGCAAGCCUGACGCAGCCAUGCCGCGUGUAUGAAGAAGGCCUACGGGUUGUAAAGUACUUUCAGCCGGGAGGCGUUACCCGCAGAAUAAGCACCGGCUAACUCCGUGCCAGCAGCCGCGGUAAUUC
This 406-nucleotide ribosomal RNA is filed under the name uncultured bacterium. RNAcentral describes it as "partial 16S ribosomal RNA". It matches the Rfam family "Bacterial small subunit ribosomal RNA", at positions 30 to 526 of the family's 1533-position model. The record is from RNAcentral.